Molecule: ribosomal RNA, 108 nt
Filed under: Chinchilla lanigera (long-tailed chinchilla)
Lineage: Eukaryota; Metazoa; Chordata; Mammalia; Rodentia; Chinchillidae
Source: RNAcentral
GUCUACGGCCAUACCACCCUGAACGCGCCCGAUCUCGUCUGAUCUCGGAAGAUAAGCAGGGUCGGGCCUGGUUAGUACUUGGAAGGGAGAGAUAAAGUGGUGAUGACC